Molecule: ribosomal RNA, 806 nt
Filed under: Intrasporangium sp. 4LS1
Lineage: Bacteria; Bacillati; Actinomycetota; Actinomycetes; Micrococcales; Intrasporangiaceae
Description: bacterial SSU rRNA
Rfam family: Bacterial small subunit ribosomal RNA
Source: RNAcentral
UGACGGCCUUCGGGUUGUAAACCUCUUUCAGCAGGGAAGAAGCGAAAGUGACGGUACCUGCAGAAGAAGCACCGGCUAACUACGUGCCAGCAGCCGCGGUAAUACGUAGGGUGCGAGCGUUGUCCGGAAUUAUUGGGCGUAAAGAGCUUGUAGGCGGUUUGUCGCGUCUGCUGUGAAAAUCCGGGGCUCAACCCCGGACUUGCAGUGGGUACGGGCAGACUAGAGUGUGGUAGGGGAGACUGGAAUUCCUGGUGUAGCGGUGGAAUGCGCAGAUAUCAGGAGGAACACCGAUGGCGAAGGCAGGUCUCUGGGCCACUACUGACGCUGAGAAGCGAAAGCAUGGGGAGCGAACAGGAUUAGAUACCCUGGUAGUCCAUGCCGUAAACGUUGGGCGCUAGGUGUGGGGCUCAUUCCACGAGUUCCGUGCCGCAGCUAACGCAUUAAGCGCCCCGCCUGGGGAGUACGGCCGCAAGGCUAAAACUCAAAGGAAUUGACGGGGGCCCGCACAAGCGGCGGAGCAUGCGGAUUAAUUCGAUGCAACGCGAAGAACCUUACCAAGGCUUGACAUACACCGGACACAUCCAGAGAUGGGUGCUUCUUCGGACUGGUGUACAGGUGGUGCAUGGUUGUCGUCAGCUCGUGUCGUGAGAUGUUGGGUUAAGUCCCGCAACGAGCGCAACCCUCGUUCUAUGUUGCCAGCACGUGAUGGUGGGGACUCAUAGGAGACUGCCGGGGUCAACUCGGAGGAAGGUGGGGAUGACGUCAAAUCAUCAUGCCCCUUAUGUCUUGGGCUUCACGCAUGCUAC